This 116-nucleotide ribosomal RNA is filed under the name Opitutaceae bacterium. The record is from RNAcentral. RNAcentral also lists the same sequence under 1 other name. Lineage: Bacteria; Pseudomonadati; Verrucomicrobiota; Opitutia; Opitutales; Opitutaceae.
UUUGGUGAUCAUAGGCGAAGUGCCCCACCCGUUCCCAUCCCGAACACGGCCGUGAAACCUUCAGCCGCCGAUGGUAGUGAGACGCAAUGUCUUGUGAGAGUAGGUUAUUGCCAGAU